GUGAGGAAUAUUGCGCAAUGGAGGCAACUCUGACGCAGCCAUGCCGCGUGCAGGAAGAAGGCGCUACGCGUUGUAAACUGCUUUUAACCGGGAAGAAAACCCAGGACGUGUCCUGGGUUGACGGUACCGGAGGAAUAAGCACCGGCUAACUUCGUGCCAGCAGCCGCGGUAAUACGAAGGGUGCAAGCGUUAUCCGGAUUCAUUGGGUUUAAAGGGUGCGUAGGCGGAGCGUUAAGUCAGUGGUGAAAUCCUGCAGCUUAACUGUAGACUUGCCAUUGAUACUGGCGCGCUUGAGUGCGCUUGAAGUGGGCGGAAUGUGCCGUGUAGCGGUGAAAUGCUUAGAUAUGGCACAGAACACCAAUUGCGAAGGCAGCUCACUAAGGCGAUACUGACGCUGAGGCACGAAAGCGUGGGGAUCGAACAGGAUUAGAAACCCGAGUAGUCC
Molecule: ribosomal RNA, 445 nt
Filed under: uncultured bacterium
Lineage: Bacteria
Description: partial 16S ribosomal RNA
Rfam family: Bacterial small subunit ribosomal RNA
Source: RNAcentral